Molecule: non-coding RNA, 31 nt
Filed under: Mus musculus (house mouse)
Lineage: Eukaryota; Metazoa; Chordata; Mammalia; Rodentia; Muridae
Source: RNAcentral
UGUAAAUGUUUCAUGUGUACAGCUUUUAGGU